Molecule: ribosomal RNA, 450 nt
Filed under: uncultured bacterium
Lineage: Bacteria
Description: bacterial SSU rRNA
Rfam family: Bacterial small subunit ribosomal RNA
Source: RNAcentral
GUGGGGAAUUUUGGACAAUGGGGGCAACCCUGAUCCAGCCAUGCCGCGUGAGUGAAGAAGGCCUUCGGGUUGUAAAGCUCUUUUGGUCGGGAAGAAAGGUUCCUUUUGAAUACGGGGGGACUGUGACGGUACCGGCAGAAUAAGCACCGGCUAACUACGUGCCAGCAGCCGCGGUAAUACGUAGGGUGCGAGCGUUAAUCGGAAUUACUGGGCGUAAAGAGUGCGUAGGCGGUUCGUUAUGUCUGUGGUGAAAGCCCUGGGCUCAACCUAGGAAUGGCCAUGGAAACUGGCGGGCUGGAGUAUGGCAGAGGGGGGUGGAAUUCCGCGUGUAGCAGUGAAAUGCGUAGAGAUGCGGAGGAACACCGAUGGCGAAGGCAGCCCCCUGGGCUAAUACUGACGCUGAGGCACGAAAGCGUGGGGAGCAAACAGGAUUAGAAACCCUAGUAGUCC